This 467-nucleotide ribosomal RNA is filed under the name uncultured bacterium. RNAcentral's name for it is "bacterial SSU rRNA". It matches the Rfam family "Bacterial small subunit ribosomal RNA", at positions 330 to 795 of the family's 1533-position model. The record is from RNAcentral.
CCCAGACUCCUACGGGAGGCAGCAGUGAGGAAUAUUGGUCAAUGGUCGCGAGACUGAACCAGCCAAGUAGCGUGCAGGAUGACGGCCCUAUGGGUUGUAAACUGCUUUUAUGCGGGGAUAAAAUGCGUCACGUGUGAUGUUUUGUAGGUACCGCAUGAAUAAGGACCGGCUAAUUCCGUGCCAGCAGCCGCGGUAAUACGGAAGGUCCGGGCGUUAUCCGGAUUUAUUGGGUUUAAAGGGUGCGUAGGCGGAACAGUAAGUCAGCGGUAAAAUCGAGGGGCUCAACCCCUUUAAGCCGUUGAAACUGGUGAUCUUGAGUGGGCGAGAAGUAUGCGGAAUGCGUGGUGUAGCGGUGAAAUGCAUAGAUAUCACGCAGAACUCCGAUUGCGAAGACAGCAUACCGGCGCCCGACUGACGCUGAGGCACGAAAGCGUGGGGAUCGAACAGGAUUAGAUACCCCCGUAAUU